GAUCAUGGCUCAGGACGAACGCUGGCGGCGUGCCUAACACAUGCAAGUCGAACGGAAAUGUUUGCUGAAUUGAAGGAAGCUUGCUUCUGAAUUUUCUUAAACAUUUUAGUGGCGGACGGGUGAGUAACGCGUGGGCAAUCUGCCUUUCACAGGGGGAUAACACAGGGAAACCUGUGCUAAUACCGCAUAAGACCACGGUAGGACAUCCUACAGAGGCCAAAGGAGCAAUCCGGUGGAAG
RNAcentral lists this ribosomal RNA (239 nucleotides) under uncultured bacterium. RNAcentral's name for it is "partial 16S ribosomal RNA". It matches the Rfam family "Bacterial small subunit ribosomal RNA", at positions 15 to 224 of the family's 1533-position model. The record is from RNAcentral.